GAUGAACGCUAGCGGCAGGCUUAACACAUGCAAGUCGAGGGGCAGCGGGUUGUAGCAAUACAAUGCCGGCGACCGGCGAAAGGGUGAGUAACGCGUGAGCAACAUGCCCGAUACUGGAGGAUAGUCGAUGGAAACGUCGCGUAAUACCUCAUAACAUAGUGAAACCGCAUGAUUUUACUAUCAAAGAUUUAUCACGCAGAGAUGGGCUCGCGUCUGAUUAGCUAGUUGGUGAGGUAACGGCCCACCAAGGCGACGAUCAGUAGCCGGACUGAGAGGUUGAACGGCCACAUUGGGACUGAGACACGGCCCAGACUCC
This 316-nucleotide ribosomal RNA is filed under the name uncultured Oscillospiraceae bacterium. RNAcentral's name for it is "bacterial SSU rRNA". It matches the Rfam family "Bacterial small subunit ribosomal RNA", at positions 28 to 339 of the family's 1533-position model. The record is from RNAcentral. Lineage: Bacteria; Bacillati; Bacillota; Clostridia; Eubacteriales; Oscillospiraceae.